Molecule: transfer RNA, 73 nt
Filed under: Salmo salar (Atlantic salmon)
Lineage: Eukaryota; Metazoa; Chordata; Actinopteri; Salmoniformes; Salmonidae
Also listed under: 1 other name
Rfam family: tRNA
About the family: Transfer RNA (tRNA) molecules are approximately 80 nucleotides in length.
Source: Rfam by way of RNAcentral
AUCCGUGUGGCUCAGUUGGUAGAGCAUGGUGCUUGCAAUGGCAGGGUUGUGGGUUCAAUUCCCAUGGGGGACA